GUAUUGAUUGCGUGUGACCGCAAAAACAAAACAUUCUAGACUGUAUCGAAUUUUGUGUGAAAACGCGAGCCUCCUCCGAGAUGAUCCCAAAGGGUGCCCACGCGGUGAUGCACAAAGGGUGAGAUGGAUUAUUAUGUGAGGAAACACACCCGGGCGUGCACGACAUUGAGUCAGCGACAGCCCUUGCAUGCCCCUCACAUUUUGUACGAUAAUGAUCCUUCCGCAGGUUCACCUACGGAAA
Molecule: unclassified non-coding RNA, 241 nt
Filed under: uncultured fungus
Lineage: Eukaryota; Fungi
Description: sequence contains ITS1
Source: RNAcentral